CGUUAUUCAGGCUACCUUUCUGCAUCUGUAGAAUGUGGGCCAGGACCUGCUGGGUCAGCCUGUGAUUUAGUGACUCACUGUGAAACCCAGGCUGAGUAAUAGAACCUGAAGCUCUCUUCUUGUUCAUUUUCAGGAUGGUUCUCUUGGGUUUGUUUAUUCCUUGGUCUCUCCUGAUUCUGGCCUGAAAGAGCUAAGCCACAGUCAGAUGAUCAAAGCAACUGGUGCAAGACAAUUGCUUUGAUUUGCUGUUUGCUUCAGAUCUGGAUUACCAGCUGUAGCCUUUCUAAUCAAGCCUCUCUGAGCACGGGAUUUAAACAUUCACAGAUUCCCAGAAAUUCCCUUGGUCUCAGGGGAGGCAGGCCCGAGUCUUAUUCCGGAGGUGGGCAUAUAAGCCAGUUCUGGCUACGGAACAUCGAGAAAGGUUUA
RNAcentral lists this long non-coding RNA (426 nucleotides) under Canis lupus familiaris (dog). RNAcentral describes it as "lncRNA (ENSCAFG00845021805.1)". Lineage: Eukaryota; Metazoa; Chordata; Mammalia; Carnivora; Canidae. The record is from RNAcentral.